GAUGAACGCUGGCGGCGUGCCUAAUACAUGCAAGUCGAGCGAACAGACGAGGAGCUUGCUCCUUCGACGUUAGCGGCGGACGGGUGAGUAACACGUAGGUAACCUACCUAUAAGAGUGGGAUAACUUCGGGAAACCGGAGCUAAUACCGGAUAAUAUUUCGAACCGCAUGGUUCGAUAGUGAAAGAUGGCUUUGCUAUCACUUAUAGAUGGACCUGCGCCGUAUUAGCUAGUUGGUAAGGUAACGGCUUACCAAGGCAACGAUACGUAGCCGAGCUGAGAGGGUGAUCGGCCACACUGGAACUGAGACAGGGUCAAGACUACUACGAGAGGCAGCAGUAGGGAAUCUUCCGCAAUGGGCGAAAGCCUGACGGAGCAACGCCGCGUGAGUGAUGAAGGUCUUCGGAUCGUAAUACUCUGUUAUUAGGGAAGAACAAACGUCUAAGUAACUGUGCACGUCUUGACGGUACCUAAUCAGAAAGCCACGGCUAACUACGUG
RNAcentral lists this ribosomal RNA (497 nucleotides) under uncultured bacterium. Its description in RNAcentral is "partial 16S ribosomal RNA". It matches the Rfam family "Bacterial small subunit ribosomal RNA", at positions 28 to 507 of the family's 1533-position model. The record is from RNAcentral.